Long non-coding RNA from Homo sapiens (human), 1552 nucleotides. RefSeq annotates it as FRG1 divergent transcript. The record is from RefSeq and is marked validated. NCBI's taxonomy places the organism in Eukaryota, Metazoa, Chordata, Mammalia, Primates, Hominidae.
GCUCUUUGUCCUGGGAAGAGUUUGCUGCAUCUUCCAGUUUCAGUAAUCAAAGAAGCAAAGUUCCCUGCAGUUCUUCAAGGAACCUUGAGAAUUCAGAAGGUCUUGGGGUGGCUGCAUCCAUCCUGCAGACAAAUGCCAAUCAGCAGAGGGGCCAUUCCCAGGGACACAUGUCUGGCUGACUUGGGCCUUGGCCAGGCUGCAACUCUCCUGUUACUCUGGGGGAAAGCUUAACAACUAAGAUUCAGAGCAAAGGAAGACGAUGCCGGCAGCAGGCUUUGGGUGCUUGUGGGGCAGCAGGUUGUACCAGGGGCAGGUGCAGACCCCUGCCUCCCUUGCCUUCACCACAGUCACAACAGGCCAGGCCAGCCCAUCCAUCAUGUCUCUAGGAUAUCUCAGGGGUUCAAGGCCACCACACCAUUUGCAGCACACUCCACUCGCUGAUCUGUGAUAUGGGAGAUGUGCUUAUUGGCGAAUAAAUCACCAUGUCAAGUUAACGGCCUGUGUCCAAGGCGAGUGACUUCGAGGUCAGCAUAGCAGCAUACCAUUGGAUGCAGCGGGUUCUGCUUCUGCGCACAGUGCCUCAUCAGAACAUAAAUUUUCAAAUACCAGAUGUGAUAAAAGACAACAUCGAGCUUUCUGUUUUUUGAAGGAGAGGAGAAGGAGAUCCUGGAUACAUUCUCUGAAAGGUGCCUCCACUUCAUCACUGAUCCCGACACGUGGGAGGAAGGAGAGGAGGACAGUGAAGACCAUCAGCAAGGGAGAGCAGGUUCCCUGCCCUGGAUCCCUGCCCUGGUCCCCUGCCCUGAUUCCCUGCCCCAUGUUGUAGGUCUUUGGGCUACAUUUCUACCCAUUGGCUGAACAUAAAAACUGUCCUAUGAACUAUUUGGCAGCAAGUUCACAGCAAAGAAUAUUAACUCUGUGAGGCACCUUAGACAAUGCCUGGCUUAACCCCCACUUGACAAAUAAAGACACAUGUUCUGACUCACCCACCAUCCCAGGAGCAACUGACCAGGCUGAGGAACUCUGUCCACUGCCUGCAGCCCACUUGGCCUUCCACUGUGACGUCCAGGCUGAGGAACUGUGUCUGCCACCUGCAGCCCACUUGGCCUUCCACUGUGAUGUCCUUUCCAGGACUCUGAGCAGAGAUGGGUUUAUAACAAGCAUAAAUUGUUAUUUUGUAUCGAUCUGCACAUCAAUUUAUAUAUUUUGAAAAUUAAAAGAAAUCCAAUGAUAAGAAUUUUUCUCACAAGUUAAUUAAGGAAACUAGGUCAAUGGAAAUUUCUUAGGUUAUGAAAAUAUUGAUGUGAAUAUGUUAUGUGAGAAUCAUUUCAAAAUGAGUUAAAGGGGCUGGGCACAGUGGUUCACACCUGUAAUCCCAGCACUUUGGGAGGCCAAGGUGGGUGGAUCAUGAGGUCAAGACAUUGAGACCAUCCUGGCCAACAUGGUGAAACCCUGUCUCUACUAAAAAUACAAAAAUUAGCCAGGCAUGGUGGCACAUGCCUGUAGUCCCAGCUACUCAGGAGGCUGAGGCGGGAGAAUAGCUUGAACCUGG